AUACGGAGGAUCCGAGCGUUAUCCGGAUUUAUUGGGUUUAAAGGGUGCGUAGGCGGUCGGGUAAGCGUAGGGUGAAAGUCCUCUGCUCAACAGAGGAAGUGCCUUCCGAACUGUCCGACUGGAAUGCUCCUGCCGUGGGAGGAAUGUGUGGUGUAGCGGUGAAAUGCAUAGAGAUCACACAGAACACCGAUUGCGAAGGCAUCUCACGAAGGGGCUAUUGACGCUGGGGCACGAAAGCGUGGGGAUCAAACAGGAUUAGAUACCCUGGUAGUCCACGCCGUAAACGAUGAGCACUAAGUGUCGGAUGAAUUUUCGGCGCUGCAGUUAACACAAUAAGUGCUCCGCCUGGGGAGUACGGUCGCAAGACUGAAACUUAAAGGAAUUGACGGGU
RNAcentral lists this ribosomal RNA (391 nucleotides) under uncultured bacterium. RNAcentral's name for it is "partial 16S ribosomal RNA". It matches the Rfam family "Bacterial small subunit ribosomal RNA", at positions 523 to 918 of the family's 1533-position model. The record is from RNAcentral.